Long non-coding RNA from Serinus canaria (Common canary), 817 nucleotides. RefSeq lists it as uncharacterized. The record is from RefSeq and is a predicted model, not a curated record. NCBI's taxonomy places the organism in Eukaryota, Metazoa, Chordata, Aves, Passeriformes, Fringillidae. The transcript is spliced from 2 exons.
UGGGGUGUAGUGGGGUAGUGAGGGCCUGGGGGUCAGUGGGGGGGAGGCUGCAGUGGGGGCUGUGGGAGGCAGGGUUUGGGGUCUCUGGGGGCUUUGGGACUGUGUAGAGGUCGGUAGGAGGGCUGGGGUGCUGUGCAAGGACAGCCCCGGGGUGUGGCUGCUCCCUGGGGAGGCGUUGGGCCCACAGCUGGGUGGGGAGCAGGGGGAGAGCUCUUUAGGGCCUGUGGGGUGUAAGGGGUGAGCUGUGUGGUGGGGAGGGGGCUGCAGGGCCAGCAGCCAGAGCAGGAUUUGGUUUUGCCGUGGAGUGUCCCAAAACUUUGUGUGUCCCAGGGUUUCCUGCCGGGGCUCAGCCCCAGGUGGUGACACAGGUGGGACUGGGUGCUUCCAUUCCUGAGGUGAGGGAGCACCAGGUGGCUGGACCAGGAGGUAAUUCUGCUUCUUGCAGUUUGGUAAUACCUGUGUGGUCUUUUUGGGUUAUCACAGAAUCAUAGAAGGGUUUGGCUGAAAGAGAGCAUAGAGACCAUAUCCUUCCACCCCCUGCCAUGGGCAGGGACACCUUCCUCUAUCCCAGGUUGCUCCAAGCCCAGUCCAACCUGGCCUUGAGUACGUCCACAGCGUCUCUGGGCGCCCUGUGCCAGGGCCUCCGCACCCUCCCUAAUUCCCUAAAACCCUUCUCUGUGCCUGUUGAAACCAUUCUCCCUUGUCCUGGCACUCCAUGCUUUUGUAACAAGUCCCCCUCCAGGUUUCCUGUAGGUUAUAGAAAGCAAUUGUGCCUAAUGGAUGAUGAACGUGAAUAAAAUCCAUUUUUCAAAGCUGA